This is a non-coding RNA of Caenorhabditis elegans, 21 nucleotides long. The record is from Ensembl. Lineage: Eukaryota; Metazoa; Nematoda; Chromadorea; Rhabditida; Rhabditidae.
UUUUUCAGACUCCUUGCUAUC